UCCUACGGGAGGCAGCAGUGGGGAAUAUUGCACAAUGGGGGGAACCCUGAUGCAGCCAUGCCGCGUGUGUGAAGAAGGCCUUCGGGUUGUAAAGCACUUUCAGUUGUGAGGAAAAGUUAGUAGUUAAUACCUGCUAGCCGUGACGUUAACAACAGAAGAAGCACCGGCUAACUCCGUGCCAGCAGCCGCGGUAAUACGGAGGGUGCGAGCGUUAAUCGGAAUUACUGGGCGUAAAGCGCACGCAGGCGGUUUGUUAAGCUAGAUGUGAAAGCCCCGGGCUCAACCUGGGAUGGUCAUUUAGAACUGGCAGACUAGAGUCUUGGAGAGGGGAGUGGAAUUCCAGGUGUAGCGGUGAAAUGCGUAGAUAUCUGGAGGAACAUCAGUGGCGAAGGCGACUCCCUGGCCAAAGACUGACGCUCAUGUGCGAAAGUGUGGGUAGCGGACAGGAUUAGAUACCCUGGUAGUCCACACCGUAAACGCUGUCUACUAGCUGUGUGUGUCUUUAAGACGUGCGUAGCGAAGCUAACGCGCUAAGUAGACCGCCUGGGGAGUACGGCCGCAAGGUUAAAACUCAAAUGAAUUGACGGA
RNAcentral lists this ribosomal RNA (588 nucleotides) under uncultured bacterium. RNAcentral's name for it is "bacterial SSU rRNA". It matches the Rfam family "Bacterial small subunit ribosomal RNA", at positions 337 to 917 of the family's 1533-position model. The record is from RNAcentral.